RNAcentral lists this long non-coding RNA (202 nucleotides) under Drosophila guanche. The record is from RNAcentral. Lineage: Eukaryota; Metazoa; Arthropoda; Insecta; Diptera; Drosophilidae.
CGACUCCAGUGUGGUCUCCCCCGGCAUACCCGCAGUACGUGUGUCUGUCGAUCGGUCGGUCAGGGUAAUUGGGGAGAGUACAAGUGAGAGUCAGUUUUCAGUUGUGUGCAGUGCCUAAAAGAAUGCUACGAAUUAGUGUGAUUUUGUCAAAAAUAUACUUGUGCUUUGGCUAACGCCCAGGAUUGAAUGGUCAAGUAGGGGG